This 406-nucleotide ribosomal RNA is filed under the name uncultured bacterium. RNAcentral's name for it is "partial 16S ribosomal RNA". It matches the Rfam family "Bacterial small subunit ribosomal RNA", at positions 30 to 526 of the family's 1533-position model. The record is from RNAcentral.
AUUGAACGCUGGCGGCAGGCUUAACACAUGCAAGUCGAGCGAGCGGCGGACGGGUGUGUAAUGUCUGGGAAACUGCCUGAUGGUGGGGGAUAACUACUGGAACCGGUAGCUAAUACCGCAUACCAUCAGAUGUUGCCAGAGGGGAUUAGCUAGUAGGUGGGGUAAUGGCUCACCUAGGCGACGAUGCCUAGCUGGUCUGAGAGGAUGACCAGGCAAACUGGAACUGAGACACGGUCCAGACUCCUACGGGAGGCAGCAGUGGGGAAUAGUGCACAAUGGGCGAAAGCGUGAUGCAGCCAUGCCGCGUGGGUGAAGAAGGCCUUCGGGUUGUAAAGCAGUUUCAGCGAGGAGGCGUUACUCGCAGAAGAAGCACCGGCUAACUACGUGCCAGCAGCCGCGGUAAUUC